UACGUAGGGGGCAAGCGUUGUCCGGAUUUAUUGGGCGUAAAGAGCUCGUAGGCGGUUUGUCGCGUCUGCUGUGAAAACUCAGGGCUUAACCCUGAGCUUGCAGUGGGUACGGGCAGACUAGAGUGCGGUGGGGGAGACUGGAAUUCCUGGUGUAGCGGUGAAAUGCGCAGAUAUCAGGAGGAACACCGGUGGCGAAGGCGGGUCUCUGGGCCGUAACUGACGCUGAGGAGCGAAAGCAUGGGGAGCGAACAGG
RNAcentral lists this ribosomal RNA (253 nucleotides) under uncultured bacterium. Its description in RNAcentral is "partial 16S ribosomal RNA". It matches the Rfam family "Bacterial small subunit ribosomal RNA", at positions 524 to 776 of the family's 1533-position model. The record is from RNAcentral.